AUUGAACGCUGGCGGCAUGCUUUACACAUGCAAGUCGAACGGCAGCGCGGGCUUCGGCCUGGCGGCGAGUGGCGAACGGGUGAGUAAUGCAUCGGAACGUGCCCAGUCGUGGGGGAUAGCCCGGCGAAAGCCGGCUUAAUACCGCAUACGACCUGAGGGUGAAAGCGGGGGACCGAAAGGCCUCGCGCUAUUGGAGCGGCCGAUGUCGGAUUAGCUGGUUGGUGGGGUAAAGGCUUACCAAGGCGACGAUCCGUAGCUGGUCUGAGAGGACGACCAGCCACACUGGGACUGAGACACGGCACAGACUCCUACGGGAGGCAGCAGUGGGGAAGUGUGGACAAUGGGGGCAACCCUGAUCCAGCCAUGCCGCGUGCAGGAAGAAGGCCUGCGGGUUGUAAACCGCUUUUGUUCGGGAAGAAAGCCUCUGGGCUAAUACCCCGGUGGGAUGACGGUACCGGAAGAAUAAGCACCGGCUAACUACGUG
RNAcentral lists this ribosomal RNA (484 nucleotides) under uncultured bacterium. RNAcentral describes it as "partial 16S ribosomal RNA". It matches the Rfam family "Bacterial small subunit ribosomal RNA", at positions 28 to 507 of the family's 1533-position model. The record is from RNAcentral.